AUUGAACGCUGGCGGCAUGCCUUACACAUGCAAGUCGAACGGUAACGCGGGGCAACCUGGCGACGAGUGGCGAACGGGUGAGUAAUGUAUCGGAACGUGCCCAGUUGUGGGGGAUAACUGCUCGAAAGAGCAGCUAAUACCGCAUACGACCUGAGGGUGAAAGCGGGGGAUCGCAAGACCUCGCGCAAUUGGAGCGGCCGAUAUCAGAUUAGGUAGUUGGUGGGGUAACGGCUCACCAAGCCAACGAUCUGUAGCUGGUCUGAGAGGACGACCAGCCACACUGGGACUGGGACACGGACCAGACUCCUACGGGAGGCAGCAGUGGGGAAUUUUGGACAAUGGGCGCAAGCCUGAUCCAGCCAUGCCGCGUGCGGGAAGAAGGCCUUCGGGUUGUGAACCGCCUUUGUCAGGGAAGAAAAGACUCCUGUUAAUACCGGGGGUUCAUGACGGUACCUGAAGAAUAAGCACCGGCUAACUACGUGCCAGCCGCCGCGGUAA
This 498-nucleotide ribosomal RNA is filed under the name uncultured bacterium. RNAcentral's name for it is "partial 16S ribosomal RNA". It matches the Rfam family "Bacterial small subunit ribosomal RNA", at positions 29 to 523 of the family's 1533-position model. The record is from RNAcentral.